Tachyglossus aculeatus (Australian echidna) is the source of this 138-nucleotide small nucleolar RNA. The record is from RefSeq and is a predicted model, not a curated record. NCBI's taxonomy places the organism in Eukaryota, Metazoa, Chordata, Mammalia, Monotremata, Tachyglossidae.
CCCCUCUCAGGACCACAUCUGGAGAGUUUCCAGUACUCUACCAGUCUCGGCUACAGAUGGGGGAGUCAAGCAAAGGUAUACCCAUUCCAUUCCUAGCUUGUACAAUGGCUAGUGAGUGGAAGGCAAUCUGCUAUAAGU